UACGAAGGGGGCUAGCGUUGUUCGGAAUUACUGGGCGUAAAGCGCACGUAGGCGGACAUUUAAGUCAGGGGUGAAAUCCCGGGGCUCAACCUCGGAACUGCCUUUGAUACUGGGUGUCUUGAGUGUGGAAGAGGUCAGUGGAAUUGCGAGUGUAGAGGUGAAAUUCGUAGAUAUUCGCAGGAACACCAGUGGCGAAGGCGGCUGACUGGUCCACAACUGACGCUGAGGUGCGAAAGCGUGGGGAGCGAACAGG
Molecule: ribosomal RNA, 253 nt
Filed under: uncultured bacterium
Lineage: Bacteria
Description: partial 16S ribosomal RNA
Rfam family: Bacterial small subunit ribosomal RNA
Source: RNAcentral